UCCUGCUUUCGCAGGCAGUCCCAUCAGAGUGCCUCACUCACGUGAAUAGCAACUGACAGCAAGGGUUGCGCUCGUUAAAGGACUUAACCCAACAUCUCACGACACGAGCUGACGACAGCCAUGCAUCACCUGUGCAACUGUCUAUGCUUUCGCAUAAAAAACUGUAUUUCUACAGUGGUCAGAAGCAUGUCAAGCCUAGGUAAGGUUCCUCGCGUAGUGUCGAAUUAAACCACAUGUUCCACCGCUUGUGCGAGCCCCCGUCAAUUCUUUUAAGUUUUAGUCUUGCGACCGUAAUCCCCAGGCGGAUCACUUAACGCGUUAGCUGCGACACUAAUCCUGCUAAGCAAGACUAACGUCUAGUGAUCAUCGUUUACAGCGUGGACUAC
This 386-nucleotide unclassified non-coding RNA is filed under the name uncultured bacterium. RNAcentral's name for it is "contains 16S-23S intergenic spacer region". The record is from RNAcentral.